GACGUGCAUGUGUGUACAUGUGCAUGUUGUGCACACACACACACACACACCAGGGAAGGCACACCGUGAGGGAGCACUGAGACUCACCGCUCCGCGCAGACGGAGGUGGCUGGGGAGCAGCCAUGGGGGGGCGUCCCGUUGAUUGGGAAGUGCAGACCCCGCCCCACCCCUCGGGGGGAGUGAGUGGGCAGGAGGCACAGGGUGCUCCUGGGUGCCGGGCCUGGAUCUGGUCCAGCGAGGACAGCGGGGCGGCCCCCAGGGGUGCUGACCGCGCCAGCAGACCAGCUGCCAAGGAAGCUCCGGCCCUGCCUCCGGUCAGAGCACACACGUCGUCCGCAUGGGCGUGAGACUAACCGGCGGGGGCUGACCUCCUGCACCGCUAGCAUCGCCCUUCGGUGAACGAGGAUGACUAGCGAUUUAGAGGUGCUGCCCUUGUGCCUGCAGGAGAGAAGUGGGCGCCGCUGCUUCCUGGGCACCCAGCUCCGUGGUUGGCGAGGCUCAGAGUCAGGGUUCCAGGCCAACCCUUCCUCCAGGGUGGCGGGCGGCUCCCAGGCCCAGCCACGCCCCACUGCCCGAGAAUGUGCACAGAUUGGACCCACCAGAGAGCUCCAGGGAGUGGGGCUGGCCUGGACCUGGGCACUUGGAAAGGGACACGCCCAUCACCAGAGCCAACAUGGCCCCGCAGAAGGGCAGUCACGCCCGACUACACUCAUUUCCUUCCUGGACACACUGGCUGCCGGGGCAGGUACCACAGUGCCUGGCAGGCCUGGCACAGCCGCUCCCAGCUCAGGCCCAGCCAAGUGACUCCUCGAUGCCCGCUGCAGACGGACGUCAGGGCAAGGCCUGGGGCCUCUGCCAGCCUCGCCGGCUGGUCGCACCUGCCUUCCCUGCAGCCUUCCUGGCCCCUCCUCUCCAGCUCCCACACCAGGAAGUCUCGGGCGGCUGUCCGUGGCGCAGGGGGGCCACCUCCAUUCCCAGAUGGAGCCUGGGCAGCAGAGGCCCGAGUGGAGCUGCCCCAGCCCUGCCCGCCUCGUGGGAGCCAGGGACCGCGGGAGCCAGGGAGCGAGUUCUUCCCUCCUCGCCCGCAGCUUCUGCGGCUAAUCUAGGCGCCUCCACUGCCCACCCCGGGAGGGGCUGGGAUCCUACCUGACUCACCCCUGGGCGUGUGGACAACCACGGCCUCACCUUCAUAGCACCGUCGGGGAAGAAGGUGCUGGGUGGCCAAGGCGCUCGCUAGCAAUCCCUUAAGAUCAGCGAAUGAGCCCUCAGGGAGCCCUGGACCCCGAGGGAGGGGCUGAAAAAUCUAGGCCAUCGUGUGCGCGCAUCCUCAGCCUGUCCCAACGACGUCCGCAGAGGUCUCCCAGAACCUGCUGAGCACCAGGGUCACUGAGGGCCACCAUGUUGCCAGGUCGCUGCGGGGCUGGGGGCGUCUGCGGGGGCGGGGCCGGUUUUCCAAGGAAGGCGCGGCUGACGGAGGAGGCCGUGCCCUGGGCACACAGUCCGUCCCACCUCCUCCUUCAGCCUCACAGUGGCUGUUUCCUGUUUGAGGCGGAGACGAGGUCCUGCUGUCUUCACGUUACUCUCAGACCAAACACAAGCAGGGACUGGCUGGAAACAGACCGCUUGCGGCGAGCAGCCCCUCCCGUGUGCCCACCGGAGGCACCUGUGACAUGCGGUUAAACCGUGGCAGCCCCAUUGCCGUGUGGGGAGGGCUCCUGGGGCGGCUGAGGACGGGCAAGGGUCCUGUGGCCGAUGGAGCUCACAGUCUGUGUCGGCUCCCUGGAGAGCACCCAGUGCUCAGCGCUCAGACCACAGCUAGAUAAGCCCAGACAGGGGCCGGCGGGGAGGGAUCCCCAAACAAGGGGUCACUGUGUCCACCCUUCUGCUUCUGAACUCUGCCAGGAACUGGGGACCUCCGUUGGGCUGGGAGCUCUUCCUCCGUCCUCCGUUCCUCUUCUUGGAGCAGUGACAGGGUCUCUCUGAGCGGCCACCGCAGCCCUACGGGUGUCACGCACGUUCUUCGUGAGGGACUGUGUUUAGUUCUGAUAGCAGCCCAUCAACCAUUCCCAUUUUAUAGAUGAGGAAACCGAGGCUAGAAGCCAGGUAUCUUUUUUCGGGUCCUAAGUGGCGGAUCAGGUCUGCCAUCUAUGACCCCCUCGACCUCCAGAGGGAAGACGACCUAGGACAGCAGGACGGCUGGGCACCAGGGGCCGCAGGCUCUCCACUGAUCCGGUGGGUGUCCCAGGAGGGAACCGAACACUCCGACAUCCUCUGUGCCAGUGAGGAAGGACCCAGGCCCCACCCAGGGCCAGCGCCAGUGGGGCAGACCCGCACCUCACCGCACAGCUGCAGACACAGGGCCCACAGCACCCCGAAAACGGGGCUGAGCCCCGGCUUGUGGUAGGAGCCCCUUCUACCCCCUCCUGGUCCUGCCAUCCUGUCCCCACCGCCAGGAGCCACAGCGAGUCUGCCAGCCCCCGCAGGGCUCGGCGCAGACCGACGGCGCACAUGCGGUGCUUCCCGCCGCCGCAGGCACACACUCAGGCUCUCCCGCACAAGCAGACAGGAUGCCGGCCGCCCAGAGUCCAGCACCAGGAGCGGACAUGCCUGGCAGCCCCGCCUUCACCACGGACGCCCGCACUGCUGGCCCCCACGUCCACAUUGCUCCGUCGGGCCACCGGCCACGCCCGGGACACGCAACCACGCCUGGCCACCUGGAUGGGAGCGGGAGGUGCGUCCGGCCUCACCAUGACUGUAAGCUAAGGACGGUGGCAGCGCCGCACACUUCCGAGGGGAGGCCGCGUCCUAAAUCCAAAUUACUCAGACGCCGGGGACCCCGCGGCCCCCAGAGCGCACUCCCGAUGCCUUGCGGGCAGUGCGCGGUCUGCGGCCAGGGGCGCGGUCAGGCGCUGUGUGCAGCCUCCAGAAGCGGCCGGGGCGGCGGGGUCCUCGCACAGGCGGCUCCGUGUGGGCUGCCGCCCACGGUACGGUUCACGUGUCUCCACGCCCUGAUGUUUCCACACUCAGGGAACAAGAACACUGUGAUCGUCAGAGUUCGAACUCCCAUUCGAGCUGUCUGAAGUAAAACUCGCAAGCCUCCCUCUGGCCCCUCCUCCUGCCUCCGCCUCGGAUGCCAGGAGCCUCCGCUGCCUCUUCCCCAGCCUCACUCAGUUCUGCAAAUCCUGGGGCGGGACCUGACAGGGGCAGCACCAUGCACAGGGUCGGGGGAAGCAGGUGCGCACCAGACCCGGGACCCUGGGUGCAGAGCCGCUGACCCUGGUGACCCCAGUGACCCCGGUGAGAUCCGCCCCUGCUCUGCAGGAAAGGGGGCAGCAGACCUUCCUCUGUCCACCCUGGAGGAAGAUGAGAGCAAGCCCCCCGCGGGGUCCCGCUCGGCCAAUAGGCUGGGAGCACUAUGGGGAGGGGCCUUCCCUCACCAGGCUUCCUGCCUGCCUGGGUCCACGGAUUGUGAGCCGCUGAAACUGGAGCCCCGUGCAUAUGUGUGCGUGCGUGUGUGUGCACAGCGUGUGCAUGUGGCGUGUGUACACGUGUGUGCGUGUGUGUACGUGUUUUUCUUCUGACCCCCAGGAGGCUCCGCAUAUCUCCCGUCGCAUGGAGCAGGUACACAGUCGUCACCGGGAGCUGACAGGGCCAGGAGGCCGCCGUGGACGGAGCUGGCCUCCAAGACCGUGCCCGCAGGGCCCUCAGCCUCCCGCAGCCUCAGCCUCAGGAUGCACCGUCCCGUGAGCCUCACGGUCCCCUCUGGGCCCUGGUCCUUGCUGGAGCCGCGAUCCUGACCCACCCCUGCAUCCCUCGCACACGUGUCACCUGCCGGCUUUCGUGAGCAUGGACCGGGGGUGGCCGGCGUGCAGCAGGGCCUCCCCGCACAGACACGGAGGGAAGACCUGGAUGCCGGAGCAGGGCUGAGUCUGGGGCAGAUCACACUUCCCAGGGAGGGCGGACAUGGCCAGGGAAUAGUGUGUCUGGGGCCGUGCCAGUGCCGAGGGGACCGUGGGGGUGGGAUCCUCCCACUCCGUCACCCAAACUAACCACACCACCUGCACCACAUGACCUGUGCACGUGUCCACGGCGGGCCUUGCCACGUUGCCCUCUCCUUCCCUCACCGCAGCCCCACCCAUCUGUCAAGGUUUGGUUCCAAGGCUGCCUCCUCCAUGAAGACCACCAAAAUUGCAGCCCAGGCUCAGGAAAGAAGAAUCAGCCCCUAGGCCCCCACCACAGCCCGUUCUCCUCUCUCGCCUUUGUGCUCAGGCCUCAGGAAGGGACGGCCUGUGCCAUCCCUGGGUCGCUGUGGCCAGCAGGGAGUUUGGAGGAACUGCCCAGUCUCCAGAGACACGGGGCUUUGGAGGCGUCCACGGGCAGGUCUGCCCCGGCCGCCAGCUGGUCCCGCAGCUUAGGCAGCAGGGCCUCGAUGCCCCUUUCCCCUGGUCUGUCCAUGUGACUGCGGGGGCCCUUGGCUGAGACCUGGCUGCCCAGAGCCCAGGGUUAGGUCAGGACAGGCUGGUUACAGACCGGGGAGCUGCCCCAAGUGGAAAGGAAGCUUUCAGAAGGAAACCAGGGCAGGGCUCGGGGUGCAGCUGAGGCCAUGGGGCCACGGUGGGGUUGCAGCCCGGCGCAGGGGGCAAGGCCACGGGGUGCCCAUUCCGGUGACACCAGGGCCCCGUGGACCACUGCAUGCACCGCAGACGGUCACCUUUGGCUGCCCAGUCCCUAUCCCACCCAUGAAGGGGUCCACAGCCUCUGCUUCAGUGUUGGGCGUGAGCCCCCAGGCACCCAGAGCGCAGUGGGCACUCAGUGGCGGACAGUGGCUGCUGUCGUGGGUGGCUGCUGGGUCCAGCCCUAAUAGGGGGGCGGGGACAGGGCGGGGCCUGUCAGGAGGCCCAGGACGGAGCGGGGUGCCGAGCGGGGCAGGACCACCGUCAGCGAUGAUGGAGACUCUGCUCAUAGGUGAUGUCUGCUACAGUCUGCAGACCGUCCCCGCGUCGUCUACUCGACAGUCAGUCACAGGACACAGAACACACUGCCGCAGUGCCCGUAAGACCCCAGCAGGCCUCUCCCUGGUUCCGCGGCCCUGAAGCCUCCCGCACACAUUGGGACUGGCAGUAUUUCCUCUCCUGCCCCAAGGAUGUGGCCAGCACGGGAAGGCCUGCCGGCUCGCGGAAACAGCGUCCAGGGGCCCCGAGGGACGUCCGUCUGCAGCAGUUGGAGCCACCCCGUGCUGGCCUUGGGAUCACAGGCAGGGAGAGCCCCUGGGGACAGGGCCAGGAGACCAGCCCCACGACGAGACGUUUGCAUGGCUCACUUCCCCCAAUCCUCCAGUAACCGGUGUCACAGACUGGGAAACCGAGGCACGGAGGUCCCACGGGACCUCACCUCUUGGCCCCCCACCCCCAGCCAGCCGGUCCCCGGGUGGAGAGAGAGACACUCAGCGGGGUGGGGUGGGGCGGCGGGGAGGCAGGUUGAGGACCGCCUUCUUCCCCUUCCCAGCCUCAGGGGGCCCUUCUCGACUUCUGCCUUCUUCAAGGGGCCAGGAAGGGGGACCCAGACCUCUGGGCCUGAGGGUCCCACCCAAUGGGGCAGGGGCUUCUGAGGCCCACCCAUGGCUCUGCGGCCCAGCCCCUGCCAAGGCCAAGGGAAGAGCCAGGCAGUAUGGGAGGGGCUGUAGGGAGGGGGAGAGAAGGGCAAGUCCCUGGGUGGGCCUGGAGUGCCUGGAGGGGCAGGGGGCGGG
This is a long non-coding RNA of Lutra lutra (Eurasian river otter), 5746 nucleotides long. RefSeq lists it as uncharacterized. The transcript is spliced from 3 exons. NCBI's taxonomy places the organism in Eukaryota, Metazoa, Chordata, Mammalia, Carnivora, Mustelidae. The record is from RefSeq and is a predicted model, not a curated record.